Cotesia glomerata is the source of this 130-nucleotide long non-coding RNA. RefSeq lists it as uncharacterized. The record is from RefSeq and is a predicted model, not a curated record. Lineage: Eukaryota; Metazoa; Arthropoda; Insecta; Hymenoptera; Braconidae. The transcript is spliced from 2 exons.
CAGAUGCAUUGGAUUUUGAAAAAAAGCUGUAUAACCUUGGUACAAUUGGUUCCAUAAUGAAUACCGUUGCCGAUGCAGAUAAAAAUGCUUGUAGAACUAAAUAUACCAUAAGAAUGAAUUUUGUCAAUAU